Molecule: non-coding RNA, 123 nt
Organism: Belliella pelovolcani
Lineage: Bacteria; Pseudomonadati; Bacteroidota; Cytophagia; Cytophagales; Cyclobacteriaceae
Source: Rfam
AGAGAUCUUGGAAUAGACUAGGUUUCUAUGAGCCAAGAAGUCAGCCGAAGUCAUAGUAGCUGGAGAAACGAGCAGGGACUGCCAAAACCAUAUCUCUGAUGGUCUCAUGGAACAGUGAAGGAC